RNAcentral lists this long non-coding RNA (219 nucleotides) under Anser brachyrhynchus (Pink-footed goose). RNAcentral's name for it is "lncRNA (ENSABRG00000005183.1)". The record is from RNAcentral. Lineage: Eukaryota; Metazoa; Chordata; Aves; Anseriformes; Anatidae.
CGUCUGGUAAUUGAAAGUGCAAAGAGGCAAUUAGGUUCAAACUUAGCCCAUUAGUGUAGCAGCAGAUUGGCAAGUUGACAUAACAACUAUUUGCGAAUCUACAUGCAAUCUGAUGUUACUAAGGUAACUGAAAUGCUCAGCAAUCUCCUCGGAAGUCCCUAAGAAGAUAAAGUGGUCAGCGCUGCCGUACUUUGAAAAUGUCAGCCCUGCUUUUUACAG